This 1037-nucleotide long non-coding RNA is filed under the name Canis lupus familiaris (dog). RNAcentral describes it as "lncRNA (ENSCAFG00845024579.1)". Lineage: Eukaryota; Metazoa; Chordata; Mammalia; Carnivora; Canidae. The record is from RNAcentral.
CGGGUGUGGGGGGGGGCGGGGAUGAGGGAGCGGGGCGGGGCAGCCGGUGCACCAGACAGGGGGAGCCGAGCGGGAGGGGGGUGAGGGAGCGGAGCAGGGGUGAGGGGGUGAGGGGGGGCGGUGUGCGGAGCCGGGCCGUGGCGGGCACCGGAGCCGGGGUAGGGGGGUGCGGAGCUGCGGCGGGCGGGGGUGCAGAGCCGGGCGGGGGGGCGAUGCGGAGCCGUGCGGGGGUGCGGAGCUGCGGGGCGGCCCCUGGGGCGGCGGCACUUGGAGGUCGGGGUGUCGGCGGGGCCCGGGCCCCGCCCCCGCCCCCGCCCCCGCCGCGCUCCCCGCCCCGCCCCAGGCCCGCCGCCCAGCGCGCUCCGCGCCCCCCCGCCCCCGCCCGUCGCCCCACUGUCCCGGGUGCUGCUGCCUCACGGCAGGAAACACAACCCAGGAGUUCGGGAGGGGAGCCCCCGCGGCCCCCCCAUGCCCUCCUCCCCCCCCCGCCCUCCCCCCCCCCCCGCCCCGACCCCAGGGGCCCUGCCCUCCCCUCCAGCCUGCCCUGAGCGCACGUCUGUUUCAUGCUUCUCUAUCCACAAACACUCAAGGACGUUUUUCAAGUUUGCUCCUGCAGACACAAGGCCCCUAAGCGAACUGUCUCCCCCCGCGGCCGCCCGCCCGGCUCAGGCUCCCGCGGCGGGAAAAGCCUCCCGACGCCCGCGAGGCGCCCUGGGUGGGCUGCGGCUGCGACGCCCCGCGAGGCUCCCGCCCCGGGGACCUUAGGGACGCCUCCCCGCCUCGCGCGGAGACACGGACGCCCAGACGGGACACACCAGCGGAGAUCGUCCAGAUUUAGACGUGAUGGGAUUGUAGGCCUCGGAAGCCCAGAUGUGGUGUUUCGAAAAAAUAAACCCUGCAGGACGUUAGGUGGACCGUCCACUGGAUUGCUGGGUGUGCCGCGGGGAGAGCGCCAGAAAUGCCUCCUACGGACUGUGCGGGCCACGUUUUGGGUUCGGCCAUAUGGGGCCACCCGUGCGGGGCUGACAAGGCAAUAG